CAAGUCGCACGAGAAAGUGGAGCAAUCCAUGAGUACAGUGGCGUACGGGUGAGUAACACGUGGAUCAUCUACCUUUUAGUGGGGAAUACCCCCGGGAAACUGGGAAUAAUACCGCAUAAGCUCGUAAGAGGAAAGCAGCAAUGCGCUGAAAGAGGAGUCCGCGGCUGAUUAGCUAGUUGGUGAGGUAAUGGCUCACCAAGGCGAAGAUCGGUAGCCGGCCUGAGAGGGCACACGGCCACACUGGCACUGAAACACGGGCCAGACUCCUACGGGAGGCAGCAGUGGGGAAUCUUGCACAAUGGAGGAAACUCUGAUGCAGCGACGCCGCGUGAGCGAUGAAGCCCUUCGGGGUGUAAAGCUCUUUCGACGGGAACGAUAAUGACGGUACCCGAAGAAGAAGCUGCGGCUAACUACGUGCCAGCAGCCACGGUAAUACGUAGGCAGCAAGCGUUGUUCGGAAUUACUGGGCGUAAAGAGUGUGUAGGCGGUGCUCUAAGUCUGUUGUGAAAUCUCCCGGCUUAACCGGGAGGGUGCGGCGGAAACUGGAGUGCUUGAGGGUGGGAGAGGUAAGCGGAAUUCCUGGUGUAGCGGUGAAAUGCGUAGAUAUCAGGAGGAACACCUGUGGUGUAGACAGCUUACUGGACCACUUCUGACGCUGAGACAGGAAAGCGU
Molecule: ribosomal RNA, 672 nt
Filed under: uncultured Bacillota bacterium
Lineage: Bacteria; Bacillati; Bacillota
Description: bacterial SSU rRNA
Rfam family: Bacterial small subunit ribosomal RNA
Source: RNAcentral